AACGAACGCUGGCGGCAUGCCUAACACAUGCAAGUCGAACGAGACCUUCGGGUCUAGUGGCGCACGGGUGCGUAACGCGUGGGAACCUGCCCUUAGGUUCGGAAUAACUCCCCGAAAGGGGUGCUAAUACCGGAUAAUGUCUUCGGACCAAAGAUUUAUCGCCUUUGGAUGGGCCCGCGUUGGAUUAGCUAGUUGGUAGGGUAAAAGCCUACCAAGGCGACGAGCCAUAGCUGGUCUGAGAGGAUGAUCAGCCACACUGGGACUGAGACACGGCCCAGACUCCUACGGGAGGCAGCAGUGGGGAAUAUUGGAAAAUGGGCGAAAGCCUGAUCCAGCAAUGCCGCGUGAGUGAUGAAGGCCUUAGGGUUGUAAAGCUCUUUUACCCGGGAUGAUAAUGACAGUACCGGGAGAAUAAGCUCCGGCUAACUCCGUG
Molecule: ribosomal RNA, 433 nt
Filed under: uncultured bacterium
Lineage: Bacteria
Description: partial 16S ribosomal RNA
Rfam family: Bacterial small subunit ribosomal RNA
Source: RNAcentral